CAUGAGCUGUAACUAAUUAGUUUUGAAAUCUAAAUAGCCAACUUCCCAUGGCUCACACUGCCAGGACCCUGGAGGGGAAUGGAGUACACCCCAGCACUAAAAGAGGCCCUGAUCCCCAAGCUCACAGCCUCUGGAGCAGAAUCCACCAUCACCUUGGGCUCACAGGAGGAUAGUAGGCAUUCAUAAAAUGCUUGUGGAUGGACGGUGUCCUAAAAAUUCUGCAAGCGUGUCCCCGAGAUCCCACUGCCCCCAACAUCAGAGAAGGGCUGUCUGUAGCCCCUUGGGGAGCUGCCUGCAAGGACUGAGGGCCUGGGGAUCUAGAGAAGAGGUUUCCUCUUCCUCCGACAUCAGGAGUCCGCCUCCCUACUGGACGCAGUAGGGAGAGCUGAUGCAAAAUGCUUGACUUGGCCUUGGCCGACCCCAGGUGACUCCUGACACCAAGCAGCCUGGCAACAGGGGCCUGGGGGAGGGGAUAAUUUAUAUUUUUGCUUGGUGACAAAUGGCUAAAUAAUAGAUCUGGCUGGGGUUUCGGUUUCUCCCCCAGCAGCUUGACCGAUGUGUUGGCCUGUUGACUCAAUCGGCGUUAUUUUGGCCCUGUGGGGACCCAGAACUCGGUUUGUGCUCGGGGAGGCCUUCCCCUCUCUCUUGGGUGUUUGGGCUUCCCCCAGUGUCGUGUUUGUUUGCCUUCCUGUCUGGGGCCCUGAGGGUUGAAGAAGGCGGAGGCGUGGGCCUUUGCCAGACUCCAAGUUUUUACGUGGCCUGGGGCACAGACUCCUGUUUGCAUGGCUGGUGAAGCAGCAGCAUCUCCGUCCUCUUUGGCCCGGCAAAUGUGGUCCUUCCUCUCCCUCCAGCCCUAUCUGCCUUUCUCCCUGCAGCCACUCUUAGUAUUAAUGACAGUGGUAGAGCAAUGUAAUUCCUUACGUGCAAAUAGUGCUUUAUGGUUUGUGAAGCCCUUUCAGGGCAUCAUGUCAUUUGACCCUCCCACAGCCCUCUGUUUGGGGCUGAGGCUCAGGGAGGUUUGGGGACUUACCCAAGGUUAUGGACUCAUGAAAGUCAGAGCAGGUCUUUGGAUUUUUGGUCCUGUCUUCUGUCCUCUGACCCAAGAUGCCCUCUUGCCUUUGGAGACUGGGGAAGAGGCUGCCACCCUACAUCUAUUCCCCUUUCUUCCUUAGCAAUAGAACCUCAGUUUUACUCAAGGUAGCAUUGUUCCCAGGCAAAAGAAAGAUUCCUAGCCUAACUUGCAGCUGUGGUUUGUAACCAGGCGCUUCAGGAAAACUUAAAGAGGGGGCAUGGACCCUUUUUACCUUAUCUCACUAUCUGGAAUUCAGAGAUAAUGGCUGGAACUCAGCAGCCAUUCUGGACAAUGAGGUAACCUUGAGGAUAAAAGCCAUGUACUAAGAUAGUAAGUCAGAAAUACAGAAGGGUCCUGAGUCUCAGAUGACCAGAGAACUACUAUGCCAGCCAAGACUUCCUAAACCAAGACCUCUUUUACACGAGAGAGAAAUAAACUUCUAUUUUGUUUAAGUCAUUGCUAUAUGGUUCUCUGUUUGCAGCCAAGUUGAAUUGCUCCUGAUUCAGGAGCCUCAUUUCCAGUAAGACACCACCUCUCCUGCACCCCUUCCUGCUGACUGAGCAUGUGGAAGGCUCUCUUCUAGUGGUUCUCAGCUCUCCUUGUUGUAUAUUCUGGGCCUGGGUCAUGAGAACUAGCCCCUGUACAUUUCUGGGUCCCUUGAACCUGAGGAGAGUUCUAGAGAAUGACCACAUAUAUUUCCUUCUGUUAGUUCUCAUAGCCCAGUGACACUACUGAUGGGGGGAGAACACAUGAAAACUCCAAGCCCUCAGCCAUUUGCAUAGGCUGGAUUCUUCUGAGGGUUAGUUUACAAACACUUCCAACUACUCUUCAUCCUCCGUAUUGCAGAGGGUGGGCCAGAGGGUUUAUCAUUUGGGCCCUGCUCCUCAUCUGCCCCACCCCCAAAGCAGAGAAAGUAGAGUCCCGGUGUUCAUGAUCCCUGCCUCCUGAAUCCCUACCAGUAAAACGUUUGAAGCACAUGCACCCCUGACAGUUGCAUGUCUUUUGGCUAAAGAAUUACAGACCUCCUCCUGUUGGUCUGGCCAUGUGGAACUGUGAGGAACUGAUGUACCUUGACUGAUCGGGGGCUGGGCUCAGCCUUGUGCAUCAGGUCACAGAUGUCUUUAAGGGCUGGGCUCUCUCUAGCUUUCAGAAGUGCCUCUAUCGGUUAUUGUGUUGGCUUUUGUUCUCAAGUCCAUCCCUUCAAGGGUAUGUGUUAAAAUCGUAUCUGCCUUCUCAGUAAGAAAAUGGGCAGGGGCAGUGCCAGCCUGCCAUGCUCUGGCACUGUCGCUUUCUGAGAAGCAAAAUGUCUUUUCCAGAAACCUCUGGUGAACGUGUCUUUCUGCCUUAUUAGCCAGCCCUGGGUCACAUGGCUUCACUGGUCACAGGAGUCUGGGAAGUUAUCAGGUAACAAGGGGAAACAGAGGUGAGAAUGGAAUGGCUGUUGGGUGGCACCUCAUAGGGUCUGCAAUGCACGUUUACCACUGGGCCAGUGUGUUGGUUACAUGAUAAAAGCUGCAUUAAAAAUAGGAUUUUUUUUUUUUUUUUUUUUUUUUUUUUUUNUUUUUUUUUUUUUUUUUGUGCACCCGCACAUGGAAGUUCCCAGGCUAGGGAUUGAAUCCGAGCCACAGCUGCAACCUGUGCAAUAGCUGUGACAACACUGGAUCCUUUAACCCACUGUGCUGGGCCGGGGACCAAACCCUUGGCUCCACAGUGACCUGAGCUGCUACAGUCAGGUUCUUAACCCACUGUGAGAAAUCCCUCAGUACCUUUUAAGAAACAGUAAAUAUUGGAGUUCCCAUCAUGGCGCAGUGGUUAACGAAUCCGACUAGGAACCAUGAGGUUGCGGGUUCAGUCCCUGCCCUUGCUCAGUGGGUUAAUGAUCCGGCGUUGCCGUGAGCUGUGGUGUAGGUUGCAGACGCGGCUCGGAUCCUGCGUUGCUGUAGCUCUGGCGUAGGCCGGUGGCUACAGCUCCGAUUCGACCCCUAGCCUGGGAACCUCCAUAUGCUGCAGGUGUGGCCCUAGAAAAAGGCAAAAAGACAAAAAAGAAAAAAAAAAAGAAACAGUAAAUAUUAGAUAAGACAUUUCCCUUCAAUAACAGCUCCCCACGUCUGAGCAAGAGAUGGGGUGGGGAGAGUUAAAGUAUUGAAAGUAUGGAAAGCAAUGGCAGUUCCCCAAAGAACAUUUUAAUAAUGCCCAUUAUUCAAGUGUCCAGGUGUUUUUCAUUUCUGUAGCAACCAAAGCCACAUGCUGAGGAUUCCUGCUGGGGCUAGAGCACAGGACCGGAGGCCGACCAACAUUUGCCUGCUGUAAGCCCCUGAUCCUGCGAUUCUGCUCUCUUGGCCUUAGUUUCCUCAGCUGGAACCUGGAAGGUUGGGCUAGAAGGUGUUAAGCCUGUCCCUUCCUCUUCUGUUUAGGGCAUCCCUGUUGUCAGAGUCACGUGACGCCUCUUUGCCUAGUCUCACCGUCCCGCUCCCCUCCCCAAGCCCCUUGGACUAUGGCCCGCCUUCCCUUUCUCCGACCUGCUUACUCACCGGUUCCCCUGCCCUCUGGUAACUCUGCCCUUUGGAAAGUGCUCCCAUCCCAGCAUCCUAUGGGAGGCAGCAUGAAGGUCUGGUCUCUGCUGGAGAUUCGGCCUGGGAUUUCAGAUGCUCCCCCACUCCCCAAACAGAUUCAGAGCCCUUUCAGUAUGCAAGGACAUGUCCUAGGGCUUCAUAUGUUUUAUCGCACAUAACACUAGGAGCUUGCUACUCUUAUUAUCAUCAUUACCAUCACCAUUACCACUUUUAAAAUGAAGAGAAUGGGGCACAGAGAGGUUAAGUACCUUGCCCAAGGUCACACAGCUGAUAGGGGGCAGAGCUGCAUGUUUGCCCAGGCAUUCUGGCUCUAGAGCCUUGCUCUUAACCACUAUGGUAGACGGUAUUAAUUUCUCUGUCUCUGUGACUUUGGGUGCGUUCUUUUGUUAUUUCUGUAAAUGCAGAACCAUUGGAGAGCACAUUGCAGACAUCAUGCCACUUCACCUUAAAUACUUCAGCGUCUCUACCAGGUGUUUCUCUAUAACCUCAGCACCCAGGAUAUUUGACACCGACACAAACUAUCAUCUAAUACCAUGUUUAUUUUCAAAUAUCCCUCUCUCAAAAAUAUCCUUCGUAGCUUUUUUUUCAAUAUAGAGUCCAAUCAAUGACCACACAUUUAGUUAUAAUAUUUUAAAAACUUUUGGGAGUUCCUGCCGUGGCUCAGCGGAAACAAAUCUGACUAGGAUCCAAAGAGGAUGCAUGUUCAAUCCCUGGCCUCACUCAGUGGGUUAAAGAUCCGGCAUUGCCAUGAGCUGUGGUGUAGGUUGUGCCACUGUGGCUGUGGUGUAGGCUGGUGACUACAGCUCCAAUUUGACCCCUAGCCUGGGAACUUCCAUAUGCCUUGGGUGCGGCCCUAAAAAGUAAAAAAAAAAAAAAAAGAGGGUUUUUAGUACAUUCAUAAAGUUGUGCAACUAUUACUACUUUCUAAUUCUAGAAAAUUUUCAUCGUCCCCAAAGAGACCCUGUACCCAUUAGCAGUCACUCCCCACUUGCCUGUAGCAACCACUAAUCUGUUUUCCAUUGCUGUGGGUUUAUAUAUUCUAGAUGUUUCAUAUAAAUGGAAUCAUAUAGUCUGUGGCCUUUUGUGUCUUGCUUCUUUCACUUAGCAUCAAAGUUUCAAGAUUCACCCAUGUCAAAGCAUGGAUUCAUUCAUUUUUAAAGGCUGAAUAAUAUUCCAUUGCACAGACAUACCACAUUUUGUUUAUCCAUUCAUCUGUUGAUGGACCCUUGGGUUGCUUCCACUUGUUGUCUAUUAUGAACAGUGUUGGGGUCCAGGCUGCUAUUUUGCAGAAUGUCCCUCCGUUCAGAUUGUCUGAUUGUUUUCCUCGUAGUUUCAGGUUCACUGCAUCUAUUUUCAUAGCCUAAGAAAUGGCUUUCUCUUUCUGCUGAGCCCAGUGAUGGCCAGCGUCUCUGCCCAGCUACGUCGCCGGCAGGUGGAACAGCCUAUUGGAGGCAGAGCUCCCUGCCUCCCCAACAAAGCAGUGCUGUGCUUAUUGCCACUGCCCACAGUCCCUGCUGCUGCCUUCCCUGCCCUGUGGGCACAGAACCUCAGAGCUAUUUCAAGCCCUUUCGUGGUAGACCUGGCCUGGGAAAGUCUGAGGUCCUGGCUGCUGGACACAAGUGCCUUCCUUAGAGGCAUGAAGGUCAUUCCCUGGGCUUGGCUUCUUUGGUCUGGUGGCCCAGCCCCUUGCUUCUGGUUCCCACCGACCCCCAGCAGUCACCCCCCGGCAACUGGCAUGAGGGAACAGAAUACACCUCACUGGGAUGGGCUUCCUGUUGACAAAUGCCGGCUUGUGGCAUCGGGUGUGGUUAAGGCUCAAAAGAGCAUCUCUCUAAAAAUGGGCCCUUUCUGCUCAAUGGAUUUGGAGCACGUGUGUCUUUGAGUCAUUGCUGUUUCCUUCAUCCUGGCAAAAAUGACCUUUCUUUCCCUGCUGGUUUCCUCUGCGCAGCCCCCGGAGUCCCACAGCUAUGAGAACCUGGCGUUCUUCCUUCCUGGACCUCUUCCCCCCGUAACAGCUCAACCUCCCUGGCAAAAUCCACAGAGAUGCUGGGCCGCUGCUCCAUAGCUGUUUGUUUUCUUGUUUAGAGCAGAAUGAGGCAGGGCUUUUGAGUCACUUUCUGACUCGCUGUGUGGCUUUGAACAAGCCACUGGACCACUCUGUGCUCCUGUUUUCCCAGUGGGAAAUGAGAGAACGGAUGAUGUCAUUCUUUGCAGCAUUUCUCCACAGACUGGGGUUUGUUUAGGGGUGAGACAAUGGAGCAAGUGACAGAGAUGGGGUGAACCUCCUUCCUUGGAGGUGCAGACAUUGAACAAUAGGUCAGAUCCCCAUUUGGCCAUCCUGGCAGAUAAAGAGGUGGCUGUGGAAAGAGCAUGAGCUUGAGGGCCAGACUCUCUCAUGGCCAAGAUGUAUCUCUCUGUUUUUUACUAGCUGUGUGGCCUCAGGCAAGUUAAUCUCUCAGACCCUCCCUAUAAUAUAGCUCCUAUAAUAUAAAGGUAGCUUUUCCAGGGUUGAUGAAGAGAUCAAAGGGGGGUGAUUCUGUAAAGUGCUAAGGACAGUUUCUAGAAGGUUGUAGAAGUCCAAUAAACCAUUGAUUUUGAGAAAGUACAGUCACCUAAGAUAGCAGUGGGCUAGUUUCUUGGGCUCUAUCCAAAUCCUUUCUCCUCUCUUUUGGCCAGUUUCUCAUGCUGAGGUUUAAGCCAGGUAAUUUAGUGUCUUUGGAUGGAUGCUGUACUGUGGGGUUGGCCCUGGAGAUGAAGGUCCCUUAUCUCUCACCCUCCUUUUUGCUCAGCCCAGUUUUCACCUCUUUGGAAAACAACCCAUCAGAAACGGGUUGCAAAAGGUCCCAAGUUAUCUCAAGGAACACUUCUGGAGGGGGAAUUGCUGCAGGGCGGGCUGUGAACCCCACCUGUGGGGCCGAGACUCCCUGGGAGGUUUGUGGGUUCCAGCCUCCCUGGUGGCCUGGCUCGGGUGGGCCACCCAGGGGGUGAGAUUUCAGGACUGCCCAGCCACAGCUCCUCCCCAUCUUGUGGGCUAAUUCUUGAUAGUCCUCGAAGCCCAUUGAUUUAAAGCUUUGAUCCCUGCUGGAGAGAGAUCCACCUGGGAAAAGAUAGCACUUAAUCCUUCUCAAUCAUGUAGCCCUCAAAACUCCAUAUGCCGUGGGGUGGCCAAAAAAAAAAACAAAAAAAAAAAA
RNAcentral lists this long non-coding RNA (6836 nucleotides) under Sus scrofa (pig). RNAcentral describes it as "lncRNA (ENSSSCG00040012712.1)". The record is from RNAcentral. Lineage: Eukaryota; Metazoa; Chordata; Mammalia; Artiodactyla; Suidae.